UACGUAGGGUGCGAGCGUUGUCCGGAAUUAUUGGGCGUAAAGAGCUCGUAGGCGGUGUGUCGCGUCGGCCGUGAAAACCUGCAGCUUAACUGUGGGCUUGCGGUCGAUACGGGCAUCACUGGAGUUCGGCAGGGGAGAGUGGAAUUCCCGGUGUAGCGGUGAAAUGCGCAGAUAUCGGGAAGAACACCUAUGGCGAAGGCAGCUCUCUGGGACGGUACUGACGCUGAGACGCGAAAGCGUGGGGAGCGAACAGG
RNAcentral lists this ribosomal RNA (254 nucleotides) under uncultured bacterium. Its description in RNAcentral is "partial 16S ribosomal RNA". It matches the Rfam family "Bacterial small subunit ribosomal RNA", at positions 524 to 776 of the family's 1533-position model. The record is from RNAcentral.